GUCUGGGGAUCUGCCCGAUAGAGGGGGAUAACCACUGGAAACGGUGGCUAAUACCGCAUAACGUCGCAAGACCAAAGAGGGGGAUAACCACUGGAAACGGUGGCUAAUACCGCAUAACGUCGCAAGACCAAAGAGGGGGACCUUCGGGCCUCUCACUAUCGGAUGAACCCAGAUGGGAUUAGCUAGUAGGCGGGGUAAUGGCCCACCUAGGCGACGAUCCCUAGCUGGUCUGAGAGGAUGACCAGCCACACUGGAACUGAGACACGGUCCAGACUCCUACGGGAGGCAGCAGUGGGGAAU
RNAcentral lists this ribosomal RNA (300 nucleotides) under uncultured bacterium. RNAcentral's name for it is "partial 16S ribosomal RNA". It matches the Rfam family "Bacterial small subunit ribosomal RNA", at positions 115 to 362 of the family's 1533-position model. The record is from RNAcentral.